GACGAACGCUGGCGGCGUGCUUAACACAUGCAAGUCGAACGGAAAGGCCCUGCUUGCAGGGUACUCGAGUGGCGAACGGGUGAGUAACACGUGGGUGAUCUGCCCUGCACUUCGGGAUAAGCCUGGGAAACUGGGUCUAAUACCGGAUAGGAGCCAGUUUUAGUGUGAUGGUUGGAAAGUUUUUUCGGUGUAGGAUGAGCUCGCGGCCUAUCAGCUUGUUGGUGGGGUAAUGGCCUACCAAGGCGGCGACGGGUAGCCGGCCUGGGAGGGUGGACGGCCACAAUGGGACUGAGAGACGGCCCAGACUCCUACGGGAGGCAGCAGUGGGGAAUAUUGCACAAUGGGCGCAAGCCUGAUGCAGCGACGCCGCGUGGGGGAUGACGGCCUUCGGGUUGUAAACUCCUUUCGCUAGGGACGAAGCUUUUUGUGACGGUACCUAGAUAAGAAGCACCGGCUAACUACGUG
This 465-nucleotide ribosomal RNA is filed under the name uncultured bacterium. RNAcentral's name for it is "partial 16S ribosomal RNA". It matches the Rfam family "Bacterial small subunit ribosomal RNA", at positions 28 to 507 of the family's 1533-position model. The record is from RNAcentral.